RNAcentral lists this transfer RNA (71 nucleotides) under Mugilogobius wilsoni (Wilson's mangrove goby). RNAcentral describes it as "tRNA-Val". It matches the Rfam family "tRNA". Rfam says of the family: Transfer RNA (tRNA) molecules are approximately 80 nucleotides in length. The record is from RNAcentral. Lineage: Eukaryota; Metazoa; Chordata; Actinopteri; Gobiiformes; Gobiidae.
CAGAGCGUAGCUAAAAAGUAUAGCAUCUCCCUUACACUGAGAAAAUGCCCGUGCAAGUCGGGCCGAACUGA